UCGAACGGCAGCACAGUAAGAGCUUGCUCUUAUGGGUGGCGAGUGGCGGACGGGUGAGGAAUACAUCGGAAUCUACUCUUUCGUGGGGGAUAACGUAGGGAAACUUACGCUAAUACCGCAUACGACCUACGGGUGAAAGCGGAGGACCUUCGGGCUUCGCGCGAUUGAAUGAGCCGAUGUCGGAUUAGCUAGUUGGCGGGGUAAAGGCCCACCAAGGCGACGAUCCGUAGCUGGUCUGAGAGGAUGAUCAGCCACACUGGAACUGAGACACGGUCCAGACUCCUACGGGAGGCAGCAGUGGGGAAUAUUGGACAAUGGGCGCAAGCCUGAUCCAGCCAUGCCGCGUGGGUGAAGAAGGCCUUCGGGUUGUAAAGCCCUUUUGUUGGGAAAGAAAAGCAGUCGGUUAAUACCCGAUUGUUCUGACGGUACCCAAAGAAUAAGCACCGGCUAACUUCGUGCCAGCAGCCGCGGUAAUACGAAGGGUGCAAGCGUUACUCGGAAUUACUGGGCGUAAAGCGUGCGUAGGUGGUGGUUUAAGUCUGUUGUGAAAGCCCUGGGCUCAACCUGGGAAUUGCAGUGGAUACUGGAUCACUAGAGUGUGGUAGAGGGUAGCGGAAUUCCCGGUGUAGCAGUGAAAUGCGUAGAGAUCGGGAGGAACAUCCGUGGCGAAGGCGGCUACCUGGACCAACACUGACACUGAGGCACGAAAGCGUGGGGAGCAAACAGGAUUAGAUACCCUGGUAGUCCACGCCCUAAACGAUGCGAACUGGAUGUUGGGUGCAAUUUGGCACGCAGUAUCGAAGCUAACGCGUUAAGUU
RNAcentral lists this ribosomal RNA (818 nucleotides) under Xanthomonas sp. AG6. RNAcentral describes it as "bacterial SSU rRNA". It matches the Rfam family "Bacterial small subunit ribosomal RNA", at positions 62 to 866 of the family's 1533-position model. Lineage: Bacteria; Pseudomonadati; Pseudomonadota; Gammaproteobacteria; Lysobacterales; Lysobacteraceae. The record is from RNAcentral.